Setaria italica (foxtail millet) is the source of this 1167-nucleotide long non-coding RNA. RefSeq lists it as uncharacterized. The record is from RefSeq and is a predicted model, not a curated record. The transcript has 2 exons. Lineage: Eukaryota; Viridiplantae; Streptophyta; Magnoliopsida; Poales; Poaceae.
UAAUGUGUCGCAAUUUAUCAAAAAUCUGACAUGGUUCUACCCGAACAUAUUCUCAGUACUGUUAUCAGUUAUCAUAUUUGUUCACUCAUUGGGACCAAGGACACGCGUUGCAAGUUAGGAAAUGUAGUGCUGUAACGCGGUGCAGGGACAAUAGGAUCUUGGCAUCUUGCCAUUGGGGAAUGGUACCGCAAUGUGCCGUCCUGGUGAACCUGCAACUGCAAUUGACGACAUGGAGGUCUGGAAAGAACAGAGUGCAACAAGUAUGUUCCUGCUAGGCUGGUACCGGCUUCGAUUCGAUGAUGCCACACGCCAUCUCCAGCAAGAUGUUAGCGGAAGCCAAAGUUUUGGGGCCGUGGGAGAAUCUCAUUGCAGUAACGGAGCUGAACAUCGUUGCGCAUUGUUGUGGGAAAGCGUUGGAAGGAAUCUGUGUUUGGGCGAAUAAGUAAGGGGCACAAGAUUCGUCAUUUGUAACAAGUGACAAAAGUCAUUGCAUUGUUGUGGUUUGAUUACUUCAUAAUCUCAAAAAGAUAAAUUCGCUUGAUCAUCCUCUGCAUUGUACUUGCUGCACGGUUUGUUCAAAUCGGACUUCAUUGGACAUGCCAGGCCUCACCGCAGUGACAUAGUUCGGAAUUUGUAUCAAGGGAUUUGCUUUUGGGUAACGAUGCACAAUAUAUGCUAAAAAAAUUUAGCAGGUUAUGUUCCUGUUGAGUAGUACAGUGGUUCGACUAUUCGUUUUUCAGUGAUCCUUUUCAGCACGAAUCACUUGCUCAGCUUCUUCAUGGUGCUCUUGUUCUACCGUUUGUUCAUAUAAAGCUUCAGAGAGUGCUAAAGCUUACAAACUGCAGAAAUGGGAGGAAAAAACCAAGAAAAUUACUUCGAGUGGCUUGCAACUUGGGUCGCUCAUCUUGCAAAUUUCAGAUGUGACCGUGACAGGCUGCCAGCUCUCACCUACGUAGAUGUUGAGGUAAACCAUGAGAAUCUCGGAAUCCGGAGACUCAUUAUUGGUGCUUCUUCAUUUCCAUGCCUGGUGCAAUGCGUGUUGCGGGGCUCUAUUGGACCUGUGACAUUUCAGCAGGGAGCUAUGCCCAGGCUCAAACUGUAACCUGUAACCUGUAAUUGUGCUCUGUUAAAUUUCUGGUAUAUAUCAUUGGUUCCCGAUGAGAGUUA